This 52-nucleotide non-coding RNA is filed under the name unclassified sequences. RNAcentral's name for it is "RAGATH-5 RNA". It matches the Rfam family "RAGATH-5 RNA". The record is from RNAcentral.
CCGGAUACCUUGACGGGCCGCACCAUGAAAAGCGACCCGAUCCCACGCCCCG